UGCGUCCGCAAACAAAAAUCAGAUCCAUGGACAGCCACAUUAUAUUUAGCUUAUGUUGAUUGGACUCAAUUGUUAAUUUGCUUAACCAUGCUGUAGGUUAUGUAACUGUCUGUUACAUGUGAUAUGCAUCAUGGACUUCACCAGAUAGAGGUUUCUGUAAGGAUCUCUGAGUGAACAUUUAAUAACGAUGGACAGGAACAGAAUACGGACAGCGUCUGGACAGGGGAAACCCAAAAGACAAUAAUGCUGACACGGGGAUGAAACAGAGGAAACACACAGAUAUAGGAAAGGCAAUCAAAACGUGAAGUAGUCCAGGUGAGUCCAAUGAGCGCUGAUGCACAUAAUAAUGGUGACAGGUGUGCUUAAUGAAAGGCAGCCUGGUGUCCUCGGGUGCCAGAGAUGGAGAGCGGGAGCAGGCAAGACAGGUUUCUAUCCGGUUUUGUGAUUACAGUUUUUUUUCGAUUGCUAAACGACAGUGGACACAACUGGAGUCACAUGUGCAAAACUCUAACUACAGUCUGCACAGCAGCAGUUCAUGUGGACCAAACUCUAGUUCGUUUUUCAUUGCUUGAACACAGUUUUCAAAACUCUACACACUUAUCCCAUGACUUUAACCACAACCUGCACAACACUGUGGAUUUACAGCACUUUCUUCAAAUGCUAACACACUGCUAUCAAAACUGUGAACCACACAUUCAAAGCGGAAUAGAUUUCAGCCUUGUGCCUUUCAAACACUGCUGAUUGCAAUUUCAGAUGAAAGGCUAAGCAGGUGUCUUGUUUUAGACUUGUUAGUGAACACACACACAUAUUACAGUAUAUAUAUAGGUAGAGCUCAGAAAGACUCAUUUUGGAAAUGGAACAAGGAAGAUGGGUUCGUGGAGGGAGAAGGGUGGCAGGGAGAGGGCGGAUGCGUGGAGGAAGACAAAGAAGACAAAGAGCUGUUAUUUCAAAUGAAAUAAGGGCUACACUUAUAGACCAUGUCGUGAACCAUGGUCUCUCAUUGAGAGAGGCAGGGUUGAGGGUGCAACCCAAUCUGCAAAGAUCCACAGUGGCAUCUGUAAUGUGAAUUUUCCAUCAUGCAAACAGGUGAGAGUUACAUCCUUACAGUAAAUGAAAACAUUACAGGAAUCUAUUUUGUAUUGCAAUUAUAGAAUAUUUACACAGAUACAUAUUACAGUAAGUUUGACUGUAAAAUAUAUUUUUACAACAGGACCCAAAGGCUGCCCCCAACAGGGGGAAGAGGAAAAAUAUUUUCAGAUGCGCAGGAAAAUGCUAUUGUUGACAUGGUUGUUGUCAACAAUGCAAUAAAACUGCGGGAGAUUCAAGAUAGAGUGCUGGCUGAUAAUGAUAUAUUUGAAAAUGUUAAUUCUGUCAGCACAACAACUAUUGCUCAAGUCCUAAAGAAACACCAAGUUACAAUGAAACAGUUAUACACUGUACCGUUCGAGAGAAACAGUGAACGGGUAAAAGAGCAAAGAUACCAAUAUGUCCCGAGAGUAAUGGAGGUGGAAGCACUGGAAAGACCACAUUCAUUUGUAUUUAUCGAUGAAGCUGGAUUUAACCUUGCCAAAACACGGCGCAGAGGAAGGAAUGUUAUAGGUCAAAGGGCCACUGUGGAGGUUCCAGGCCAAAGGGGGGGAAAUAUCACCAUGUGUGCUGCAAUGGCCAAUGAUGGUUUGCUUCUCAACACACCGCUCAUUGGCCCAUACAACACAAAAAGGCUUAUAGCUUUCCUAGAACAGCUCUAUGCUCAGCUAGUGCCAGCAGAACAGGGGGAGCCAGUAAGAAACCCCCAAGUUUUUGUCAUAGUUUGCGAUAACGUUGCUUUUCACCACUCUGCAGCUGUCACAGACUGGUUUGCAGCACAUCACAGAUUUAUGGUUUUGUACCUGCCUGCAUAUUCACCCUUCCUCAACCCGAUAGAGGAGUUUUUCUCUGCCUGGAGGUGGAAAGUGUUUGGUCACCACCCACAUGACCAAAUGUCUCUUUUGGAAGCCAUGCGUGCCGGAUGUGAGGACACGAGUCCAGAGGACUGCCAGGGAUGGAUAAGGCACUCCAGAAGGUUCUUCCCCAGGUGCAUGGCAAGAGAAAACAUUAGAUGUGAUGUUGAAGAAAACCUGUGGCCUGAUGCUAGAGAGAGCCCGGAUUAGCCCCUCAAUUAUCUGUUCGAAUUACAGUAUGUACUUUUAGUUUCUACCUUUUUUUUCUCAUUACUGUAAUUCCGUAAAUUACUACAGGCUAUUGAAGCAAACUGCUAAUUUUCAUUUACCUUAAAGAAUUGUUAUGUUCUAAAAAAAAAUGUAAAUCGUGUGAAAGAAUGUCACUCUUUUCUUUGAAGAAAAUAUUACUUUGUAUGAAGUCACUGAAAUUGUUCAAAUUGUAAAGAUGAAAAGUCCUUUGUGGGCAAAUGUUGUAAUCAAAGUCUGGCAUUCUCUGGAUUUAUGGUGCUUUCAAAACAACAGGGAAAAACAAGGUUGAAUCAUGAUGACGUCAUUGAUGUUCAGGUUGUAGCUCUAGAAAGAGGCCGGAUUUACAAUUCCGAGUUGGACGACCGUUCUAAAUGUAUUUUCCCAGUUUUCGCAGUUCAGAGUUAACAGUUGAUUCUUCAGUUCAUUAUUUCUCUUCAUAUGACAAGGAUUAAAAAUAAUUUGCCAGUA
This is a long non-coding RNA of Oncorhynchus keta (chum salmon), 2657 nucleotides long. RefSeq lists it as uncharacterized. Lineage: Eukaryota; Metazoa; Chordata; Actinopteri; Salmoniformes; Salmonidae. The transcript has 2 exons. The record is from RefSeq and is a predicted model, not a curated record.